GAUGAACGCUAGCGGCAGGCUUAAUACAUGCAAGUCGAGGGGCAGCAUGGUUGUAGCAAUACAACUGAUGGCGACCGGCAAACGGGUGCGGAACACGUACGCAAUCUACCCAAAACUGAUGAAUAGCCCUCCGAAAGGAGGAUUAAUACAUCGUAACUUAAUGAAGUGGCAUCACCUUAUUAAUAUAGCUCCGGCGGUUUUGGAUGAGCGUGCGCCUGAUUAGGUAGUUGGCGGGGUAACGGCCCACCAAGCCAGCGAUCAGUAACUGGUGUGAGAGCACGACCAGUCACACGGGCACUGAGACACGGGCCCGACUCCUACGGGAGGCAGCAGUAAGGAAUAUUGGUCAAUGGACGCAAGUCUGAACCAG
Molecule: ribosomal RNA, 370 nt
Filed under: uncultured bacterium
Lineage: Bacteria
Description: bacterial SSU rRNA
Rfam family: Bacterial small subunit ribosomal RNA
Source: RNAcentral